RNAcentral lists this non-coding RNA (28 nucleotides) under Mus musculus (house mouse). The record is from RNAcentral. Lineage: Eukaryota; Metazoa; Chordata; Mammalia; Rodentia; Muridae.
UGAGCAUUUUCUCUACUGGGUGAAAGUC